RNAcentral lists this ribosomal RNA (409 nucleotides) under uncultured Nitrososphaerota archaeon. RNAcentral describes it as "bacterial SSU rRNA". It matches the Rfam family "Archaeal small subunit ribosomal RNA", at positions 452 to 861 of the family's 1478-position model. Lineage: Archaea; Thermoproteati; Nitrososphaerota. The record is from RNAcentral.
CUGGUGUCAGCCGCCGCGGUAAUACCAGCACCCCGAGUGGUCGGGACGAUUAUUGGGCCUAAAGCAUCCGUAGCCGGCCUUACAAGUCCUCCGUUAAAUCCAGCUGCUUAACAGAUGGGCUGCGGAGGAUACUAUAAGACUAGGAGGCAGGAGAGGCAAGCGGUACUCAGUGGGUAGGGGUAAAAUCCGUUGAUCCAUUGAAGACCACCAGUGGCGAAGGCGGCUUGCCAGAAUGCGCUCGACGGUGAGGGAUGAAAGCUGGGGGAGCAAACCGGAUUAGAUACCCGGGUAGUCCCAGCUGUAAACGAUGCAGACUCGGUGAUGGACUAGCUUUAUGCUGGUCCAGUGCCGCAGGGGAGCCGUUAAGUCUGCCGCCUGGGUAGUACGGUCGCAAGACUGAAACUUAAAG